GAUGAACGCUGGCGGCGUGCCUAAUACAUGCCAGUCGAGCGAACGGACGAGAAGCUUGCUUCUCUGAUGUUAGCGGCGGACGGGUGAGUAACACGUGGAUAACCUACCUAUAAGACUGGGAUAACUUCGGGAAACCGUAGCUAAUACCGGAUAAUAUUUUGAACCGCAUGGUUCAAAAGUGAAAGACGGUCUUGCUGUCACUUAUAGAUGGAUCCGCGCUGCAUUAGCUAGUUGGUAAGGUAACGGCUUACCAAGGCAACGAUGCAUAGCCGACCUGAGAGGGUGAUCGGCCACACUCGAACUGAGACACGGUCCAGACUCCUACGGGAGGCAGCAGUAGGGAAUCUUCCGCAAUGGGCGAAAGCCUGACGGAGCAACGCCGCGUGAGUGAUGAAGGUCUUCGGAUCGUAAAAUUCUGUUAUUAGGGAAGAACAUAUGUGUAAGUAACUGUGCACAUCUUGACGGUACCUAAUCAGAAAGCCACGGCUAACUACGUG
Molecule: ribosomal RNA, 497 nt
Filed under: uncultured bacterium
Lineage: Bacteria
Description: partial 16S ribosomal RNA
Rfam family: Bacterial small subunit ribosomal RNA
Source: RNAcentral